UGCUUGGGAUGUGAAAAAUAAAAAAAGGAAGAGUAGAGAUAAGAUGAUGGUUUAGUGGCAUGGAAGAAAAGAGUGGUGUGAAAGGUUUAAGAUGUGGUGGGGGUUUGCAGAAUGGGGAGCGUAAGGGCGUGUGGGUACUCUCCAAUAGUUGUUGUUCGGGCGUCGCGUCAUCAUCGCGUGGGCGGUAAGAAUGGUUUAUUAAGUUUGCAGCCUCAGGGGGCUCGUGGGCACUCUAUUUCAUGGGUUGUUAGAGCCGGAAAGGGUCCUCCAUUAUUGCCCCCGAAGAAGGAAGUAGUAGAAGGCGGAGGCAUAAUUUCCGCCUGUUUUGUUGGUCUGCUCACGGGUCUCUCUGUCGUCAUCUUUAACAACGUGGUGCAUGAAAUUCGUGAUCUUUGCUGGGAUGGACUUCCGUCUCGAGGAGGGUUGAGAGAGUUGGCGCUUGAGAAUAAAUGGGAGCGCAUAAUCUUGAUACCAACCUGUGGUGGAUUGGUUGUUAGCCUGUUGAACGUUUUUCGUAGUGCUUUGGAAGAUGGGAAUUCAGGCUUAAAAGCUCUUCUCAAGGCGGUAGCUGCUGCUGUCACACUUGGAACUGGGAAUUCUCUUGGUCCUGAAGGUCCGAGUGUUGACAUUGGUACAUCAGUCGCUAAGGGAGUUGCUUCAUUGUUUGACAAAGAUGCUCAAAGAGAACUUUCUCUUAAAGCUGCAGGCUCAGCUGCUGGAAUUUCAUCAGGUUUCAAUGCUGCUGUUGCAGGGUGUUUUUUUGCUGUCGAGUCGGUUUUGUGGCCAUCACCUGCUGCUGCUGAGUCAUCCUUAUCACUCACAAAUACAACAUCAACAGUCAUUCUUAGUGCUGUGAUAGCCUCUGUUGUGUCAGAAAUUGGUCUUGGAUCUGAGCCUGCAUUUACAAUUCCAAACUAUGAUUUCCGUUCACCAACUGAACUUCCACUGUAUCUUUUGCUGGGCAUCUUUUGCGGGGUGGUUUCUUUGAGCUUAUCUUGGUGUACAUCGUGGAUGAUAGUGGCUACUGACAAGAUUCAGAAGACACUUGGGAUGCCAAAGGCAGUUUUUCCUGUAGUGGGUGGUUUUAGUGUUGGAGUGAUAGCCUUGAUAUAUCCUGAAGUUCUUUACUGGGGUUUUGAGAAUGUGGACACCCUCUUAGAGACACGGGCAUUUGUGAAAGGCCUGGAUGUAGAUCUAUUGUUGCAGCUAAUAGCAGUCAAAGUAGUGGCAACAUCCUUGUGUCGUGCAUCUGGAUUAGUAGGAGGCUACUAUGCUCCGUCGCUUUUUAUUGGGGCGGCUACAGGAAUGGCGUAUGGAAAAUUAUUAUCUUCUCUCAUUUCUCACCUCAAUCCAAUCUUUCAUCUCUCAGGCAUUCUGGAUGUUGCAUCACCACAAGCAUAUGCUCUGGUUGGCAUGGCUGCUACUCUUGCUGGGGUUUGUGAGGUGCCUCUUACUGCGGUUUUACUUUUAUUUGAGCUUACACAGGACUACCGCAUAGUGCUACCACUUCUAGGUGCUGUGGGGGUGUCUUCCUGGAUCACAUCUUGGUCCGUUAAGAGUAAAGAUAAUUCACCCAAACCUGACACUGACCACCUAAGCAUGCAUAACUUUGAUCAAUGCAUCACAAAGAAGCUUCUGGUCUCACAGGCCAUGAAAACCCAGUAUGUGACUGUGCUCAUGAACACUCUGCUAACACAAGUAGUGACUCUAAUGCUAGCAGAGAAGCAAUCUUGCGCUAUCAUAGUUGAUGAUCAUAACCUAUUCAUAGGUUUACUCACUCUAGGAGACAUACAAGAAUUUUGCAAAUUAUCAAAAGAAACAAACAAAAUUCCUGAGGAAAUGCUCGGCCAACAACUAAUCAAGAAUUCAGCUUUGGAGUUUGGAUCUCUACAGUGGAUCUGGAAAGGUGUUUUCAGCUACUACGUGUUCAUCUUCAACUAGCCGAAGAUAUAAUAGGAUUUGACGCAGACUGACCACAAGGCUGUUCAUUAGUCAUCUAUCGAAUGCCCCAUACCAUAUAGAAAUCAGAUUUUACUAUUUUGAUAAUAGAAUUUAGUACACCCAUGUCGAUACAUAUACAAGAACUCAAGGUGUCUCAAGUAUGCUCUAUAAAUGAUUUUUGUGAGACUGCAACACUAACACCCAUGAUGAAUUUACACUCUGCAGAGCUGAUUAUGAAUACACAUGGUGCAAACCAGCUCCCAGUUAUUUCAGAGGACCUCCCUGUUGGUAUUUUAGACAGAGAAUGCAUCAAUAUAGCUUGCAGGGCUUUGGCAACAACAGAAUACCUUUCCACACUCACAAAUUGAUUACAUUGUGUUUCCUUUUCUUCUUACACUGCUCAUAAAAACACCCUCUUGUGGUGAAUGUAAAUAUUCUCACCUGAGUGUGAGAAUUUUGCACCUUAUCAAUUGGUCUCAAGGGGGAGCAUCGUGGGGCUUAAUAAUCAUAUUAGGUCAUUUCGAUUGUGUUGUAAUGAACUGUAUUCGACUUCCGUGUCAAAGUUUUUCUUUUAAUUU
Helianthus annuus (common sunflower) is the source of this 2519-nucleotide RNA transcript. It is a transcript of the gene named chloride channel protein CLC-e, with no coding region annotated. NCBI's taxonomy places the organism in Eukaryota, Viridiplantae, Streptophyta, Magnoliopsida, Asterales, Asteraceae. The record is from RefSeq and is a predicted model, not a curated record. The transcript is spliced from 6 exons.